GCAGUAAUGCGUUAAGCUAACCAGUACUAAUUGCCCGUAAGGCUUGAUCCUA
RNAcentral lists this ribosomal RNA (52 nucleotides) under Cupriavidus alkaliphilus. Its description in RNAcentral is "partial 23S ribosomal RNA". The record is from RNAcentral. Lineage: Bacteria; Pseudomonadati; Pseudomonadota; Betaproteobacteria; Burkholderiales; Burkholderiaceae.